CCCGCGACCCCGCUAAGAACAGAGGGAAAACCCUCACUCGAGAAAAGAAAAAGAAAAAAGGGGGGAAGUUAAAAAGGAAAGCGACGAACUACACCAGCGACAAAUGAAAAAUAAAUUACGUCAAAGAUAUAGGGGACCUCAUCUCAGCGAGGAUGAGGAUUCUUAUCAAAAAUCCUCAGUCUCCAAGAGGGCUCUCAACACAGGCCAAGGAUAAGACGGCUUCCUCAAGACGAUGAGAAGUUCAGACCCCC
This 251-nucleotide long non-coding RNA is filed under the name Elaeis guineensis (African oil palm). RNAcentral's name for it is "long non-coding RNA (EGUI_LNC076536)". The record is from RNAcentral. Lineage: Eukaryota; Viridiplantae; Streptophyta; Magnoliopsida; Arecales; Arecaceae.